This 141-nucleotide ribosomal RNA is filed under the name Pseudomonas sp. GV105. Lineage: Bacteria; Pseudomonadati; Pseudomonadota; Gammaproteobacteria; Pseudomonadales; Pseudomonadaceae. The record is from RNAcentral.
CUUGACGACCAUAGAGCAUUGGAACCACCUGAUCCCAUCCCGAACUCAGCAGUGAAACGAUGCAUCGCCGAUGGUAGUGUGGGGUUUCCCCAUGUGAGAGUAGGUCAUCGUCAAGAUUAAAUUCCAGAACCCCUGUUUGCU